UGGGGAAUAUUGCACAAUGGGCGCAAGCCUGAAGCAGCGACGCCGCGUGGGCGAUGAAGGUCUUCGGAUCGUAAAGCCCUUUUCUGCGUGACGAGAGAGGACGGUAGCGCAGGAAGACGUCUCGGCUAACUACGUGCCAGCAGCCGCGGUAAAACGUAGGAGACGAGCGUUAUCCGGAAUUACUGGGCGUAAAGCGCGAGUAGGCGGCUAUUUAAGUGGUCUGUGAAAGCGUCCGGCUCAACUGGACGAGGCCGGAUCAGACUGGAUGGCUAGAGGGUCAGAGAGGCAGGCGGAAUUCCGGGUGUAGUGGUGAAAUGCGUAGAGAUCCGGAGGAACACCAGUGGCGAAGGCGGCCUGCUGGCUGACAACUGACGCUGAGGCGCGAAAGCAUGGGGAGCGAA
Molecule: ribosomal RNA, 401 nt
Filed under: uncultured bacterium
Lineage: Bacteria
Description: bacterial SSU rRNA
Rfam family: Bacterial small subunit ribosomal RNA
Source: RNAcentral